CCUACGGGGGGCAGCAGUGGGGAAUAUUGGACAAUGGGGGCAACCCUGAUCCAGCCAUGCCGCGUGUGUGAAGAAGGCCCUCGGGUUGUAAAGCACUUUCAGUGAGGAAGAACGCCUGGUGGUUAAUACCCAUCAGGAAAGACAUCACUCACAGAAGAAGCACCGGCUAACUCCGUGCCAGCAGCCGCGGUAAUACGGAGGGUGCGAGCGUUAAUCGGAAUUACUGGGCGUAAAGCGCGCGUAGGUGGCUUGAUAAGCCGGUUGUGAAAGCCCCGGGCUCAACCUGGGAACGGCAUCCGGAACUGUCAAGCUAGAGUGCAGGAGAGGAAGGUAGAAUUCCCGGUGUAGCGGUGAAAUGCGUAGAGAUCGGGAGGAAUACCAGUGGCGAAGGCGGCCUUCUGGACUGACACUGACACUGAGGUGCGAAAGCGUGGGUAGCAAACAGGAUUAGAUACCCGGGUGGUC
This 465-nucleotide ribosomal RNA is filed under the name Vreelandella stevensii. Its description in RNAcentral is "partial 16S ribosomal RNA". It matches the Rfam family "Bacterial small subunit ribosomal RNA", at positions 338 to 795 of the family's 1533-position model. Lineage: Bacteria; Pseudomonadati; Pseudomonadota; Gammaproteobacteria; Oceanospirillales; Halomonadaceae. The record is from RNAcentral.